AUGCCUUCGGAUCAAGGUGAGAUCAGUAUUCAGGUUCAAGCUUCGGCCUCUUCAACUUCAACUCCCCUUCAAGCCGAGGCAGUUGCCCUUUCUUGUGCAGCUCACCUUGCCGCUCAGCUUAAUAAUACUAAUCCCACGUUUCUGACGGACUGUCUUUCUCUUGCUUCUGCUACUGCCUCAAGAAAUAUUUCAGAUUCUGCUGCUCAUUGGAACAUUAGAAAAGAGUUGGCUACUUUUCUCAAAGUUACGUCUAAUUUAGCUGCUCAAGUGUUUCAUGUUUCCAGGGAAAUCAAUGGUGUCGCUCAUAAUCUGGCUCAACAGGUUUUCCGAUCUGUCGGAGAGACGCAAGUUGCUUGUUUUGCUCAUGCUCACUCAAAUUCUCCAUGUCCAGUGGUGGCCCUUCUUUCAAACUUUCAACUUGAAGGUAUUCAACUGCACACGGUGCAUUGCUUCUAA
Molecule: ribosomal RNA, 456 nt
Filed under: Triticum aestivum (bread wheat)
Lineage: Eukaryota; Viridiplantae; Streptophyta; Magnoliopsida; Poales; Poaceae
Description: partial small subunit ribosomal RNA
Source: RNAcentral